GACGAACGCUGGCGGCGCGCCUAACACAUGCAAGUCGAACGGAGCUGAGAGAAGCUUGCUUUUCUUAGCUUAGUGGCGGACGGGUGAGUAACGCGUGAGUAACCUGCCCUGGAGUGGGGGACAACAGUUGGAAACGACUGCUAAUACCGCAUAAGCCCACGAUCCGGCAUCGGAUUGAGGGAAAAGGAUUUAUUCGCUUCAGGAUGGACUCGCGUCCAAUUAGCUAGUUGGUGAGGUAACGGCCCACCAAGGCGACGAUUGGUAGCCGGACUGAGAGGUUGAACGGCCACAUUGGGACUGAGACACGGCCCAGACUCCUACGGGAGGCAGCAGUGGGGGAUAUUGCACAAUGGGGGAAACCCUGAUGCAGCGACGCCGCGUGGAGGAAGAAGGUUUUCGGAUUGUAAACUCCUGUCGUUAGGGACGAUAAUGACGGUACCUAACAAGAAAGCACCGGCUAACUACGUG
Molecule: ribosomal RNA, 468 nt
Filed under: uncultured bacterium
Lineage: Bacteria
Description: partial 16S ribosomal RNA
Rfam family: Bacterial small subunit ribosomal RNA
Source: RNAcentral